AGCAAUCAGCUAGUGACUAGGCCAACAAAGAAGACCAACUGGGCACCUUCCGUAUGGUGCAAAGGAAGGCAUCAGAUGGUUCAUGAUACCAGCUGGAAUCCAACACCACCAAGGCAGCAGAUGCCAUAUGCUUCCCAGGUAGCAGGUGAUGCCCUUUAA
Molecule: ribosomal RNA, 159 nt
Filed under: Triticum aestivum (bread wheat)
Lineage: Eukaryota; Viridiplantae; Streptophyta; Magnoliopsida; Poales; Poaceae
Description: partial small subunit ribosomal RNA
Source: RNAcentral